UACGAAGGGGGCUAGCGUUGCUCGGAAUCACUGGGCGUAAAGGGUGCGUAGGCGGGUCUUUAAGUCGGGUGUGAAAUCUUGGAACUUAACUCCGAAACUGCAUUCGAUACUGCCGUGCUUGAGGACUGGAGAGGAGACUGGAAUUUACGGUGUAGCGGUGAAAUGCGUAGAUAUCGUAAGGAAGACCAGUGGCGAAGGCGGGUCUCUGGACAGUUCCUGACGCUGAAGCACGAAGGCCAGGGGAGCAAACGGG
This 253-nucleotide ribosomal RNA is filed under the name uncultured bacterium. Its description in RNAcentral is "partial 16S ribosomal RNA". It matches the Rfam family "Bacterial small subunit ribosomal RNA", at positions 524 to 776 of the family's 1533-position model. The record is from RNAcentral.